RNAcentral lists this ribosomal RNA (508 nucleotides) under uncultured bacterium. RNAcentral's name for it is "partial 16S ribosomal RNA". It matches the Rfam family "Bacterial small subunit ribosomal RNA", at positions 28 to 523 of the family's 1533-position model. The record is from RNAcentral.
GACGAACGCUGGCGGCGUGCUUAACACAUGCAAGUGGUGCGACGAACCAGGCUUCGGCCUGGGGCGAAGCCGCGAACGGGUGAGUAACACGAGGGCAAUCUGCCCCUUUGAUCGGGACAACCCGGGGAAACCCGGGCUAAUACCGAAUGAGGUGGCGACUCAUGAGAGUCGUCACGAAAGGAAGCUUCGGCCUCCGCGAAGGGAUGAGCCCGCGGCCCAUUAGCUUGUUGGUGGGGUAAUGGCCUACCAAGGCAACGAUGGGCAGCUGGUCUGAGAGGACGAUCAGCCACACUGGGACUGAGACACGGCCAGACUCCUACGGGAGGAUGCAGUGGGGAAUCUUGCGCAAUGAGCGACAGCUUGACGCAGCAACGCCGCGUGAGGGAAGAAGGCUUUCGGGUCGUAAACCUCUUUCAGUUAGGACGAAGCUUUAUUGGUUAAUAACCAAUUGGAGUGACGGUACUUUCAGAAGAAGCCCCGGCUAACUACGUGCCAGCCGCCGCGGUAA